CCACUGAGCUAUAAUAUAACUGGAGGAAGUGCUCGGCAUCAAAAGGUGAAGCCAAAAACAUGGCGGAUUUUCACGUCUGCUGACGCCAGAAUGACGCCACUGGUCCCAAAUCCUCGUGGUAAUUACCACUGACCAACCGCGAUCCUCGGUUUCAGACGACAAUUUCACCCCCCUGGUUUUUGCACAAAAAAGCUGAAACUCUGCUGAAAAUUUAUAUAAAAAACAUCAAGAAAAAAUGCCGAGUUUUUGCAUGGCUUCAUGAUGCCACAAUUCUUUAAUAUCAAGAAGAGACACUUCUUAUUACCGGUAAGAUGUAUAUUAAACUCUUUCUCUGUGCUUCAUUUGUACUAAAUUCUGUUUUUUAAAAGAAAAAAUUGGAUACGAAAUUUACAAAUAUAACGACGCUGUACAGCAGCUGGUGUUAUUCUGCCUUUAUCACUUUUCGUUGUGUUUUAUUUUGCCAUUUGGGUAGGUUAUAGUUUUUGUUUUCCUCUGGAGUUCUUACCCAAAGAUCCAACAGCCCCAACAUCAAUUUUCACAUACAGUAUUGUAAUAGAAAUGCCUUAAGGCUUAAAAUGAUGGACAAGGGUUUUAAUAUAUUGUCAUAGGAGGCCCAAUAUAUGGUUGUAAUGGGCACAAAAAAAGAUCAAAACUGUUCCUAACAAGUAUCUCUGUUGGAGUAAAUGUUGAAUAAAAGCUUGCAAGGCUCACACUACAAUUUUGAGUUGUGAUUUUAACAGACAAUUUUAAUCUUUUUUCAUGGCUAACAUAGGAUCGAGGCAUCUCUGCGAAGGUUCCAAUAGAUAGUUGUACAAGUAAAGUUUUAGUUCAUAUAUAAAAAGGCCAGCAAAUAGACAUGAAUUUUUCUUGACGAAUAUGAAUUUAUGGAUAGUACAUGGGUGGGGAUGCUUAUUUCACAACACUCUAAUUUCUAUGUCUGAAAGAUCGACGUAUUUUAAUAUUUGAAAUGGGGAAAAAAAAAUAUAAUGUUCAAUAGCAUGUAGAUCAAAUUAUAUAGAUAAUAUAGUAGAUGACUGAUUGGAUGUAUUCUAUUACACUUUUCCAGAUGCCAAGAAAAAUCCUGAGAUGUGUUGAAAACUUGAAGAAUGCCCUGGUUAAAUUUUAUGCCACAAAGGGAAUCACCUUUGUUCAAAGCAAUUAGUAUAAUAUUCCAUUCAUCCAUCGAGGGGCAGCACUCUCCACUUGAUGAGUAAAAUCAUCUGGCAUUAGACAGAGUAAAAUACUCUGGCAUAAGACAGAGUAAAAUACUAAAAGUAGGGCACAUCAGGGUGCAUUGCCACUUAAUUAAAGGGUUAACUCAUUCAGCACUCUCCCCUUCACAAAUAAAAUUUGCCAUUAGACAGAAUAAUAAAGUAGGGUGCAUUGUGUUGCAUUCAGACUUAUCAAAGGCUUAACAGGAUGCAUAGGCAUAUACUGGUCAACCCAUAGAGUGCCAGAGCUCUCCCCUUGCAUUGACAAGUAUAUUCGUCUGGCAUUUGAAAGGAAAAUUAUGUGGUGGAUUGCCUGACUUAUCAAAAGGGAUAAUAGGGGCCCACAGCAACUCUCUUGUUCUCUCAGGGGGGAGGGGGUUAGGUUACACUCACAAAUGAAUAAUAGCUGUUAUCGUAUUUGAAUACCCGCUGCGGCGAACCAGCGGU
This 1658-nucleotide long non-coding RNA is filed under the name Paramuricea clavata. The record is from RNAcentral. Lineage: Eukaryota; Metazoa; Cnidaria; Anthozoa; Malacalcyonacea; Plexauridae.